UUCACAGUCAUUUUUCCCAAGAGAAAAUAAUUGUGAGCUGGAGUGAAUUAAUGCUGCGAUGCUGCAUUGAACAGAGUUCAUUUUUGCAGAGGUGAAGAUUAUUUCAAGUUGAAGGAUCUGCAAGCUUGCAGAAAGCCAGCAUGAGAACUGAAAAUUAUUUUGAUUAAUUGAAAGAGCAGUCCACAAAAGCAACCACAGAAUAACAGAAUGGGUCAUGUUGGAAUGGAAUACAGUGGUUCAUCUGGUCCGACCUCCCUGGUCAAGCAGCUCAUUCCAGAAUGGCACAGAAUUCUGUCCAGACAGUUCUUGAAUAUAUCCAAUGAGGGAGACUCCACAACCUCUGUGGGCAACCUGUUCCAGUUGUCAAACACCCACACAGUAGGUAAAUUGUGGGUCUCAUUGUCAUAAAAUACUUUGGAAAUUAAAAGAUCAAAUGAGUUCCAAAAGUGAUGGAUUGAUGGAUAAAUGGAUGCAGAAAUGUCCAUUUGUAGCUCUAAAAUAUUAUGGCCUUUAGUGCAGGAAGCUCUUUGACUGAGAAGACAUAACAGGUAGGAUCAAUGUUAUGCUUUUCUUGGCAGUUUUGCAUUCUGGCUUCAGCUUUGAAUGUGGUUCUGGGUUGCACUGCCUUUCAGACAAGCACAAAAGGCCACAGGUUCUUAUGAAAUGCUUGUGACAUUCUACACAGAAGAACAGGUUCUUGCAGAUAUAGUAUAUGCCAAGCAGAGAAAGUGUCAGAAAUGUCAGAGAGAAAAUGGAAAGUAUCAAAUGGUGAAGUAAAGACAUGGAUUUGACAGAAUA
Poecile atricapillus (Black-capped chickadee) is the source of this 798-nucleotide long non-coding RNA. RefSeq lists it as uncharacterized. The record is from RefSeq and is a predicted model, not a curated record. The transcript is spliced from 3 exons. Lineage: Eukaryota; Metazoa; Chordata; Aves; Passeriformes; Paridae.